UCUAUGCGGGAAGAAUAACCACGCGUAACCUGUGGCUAAGAGUGUAGAAUAAGGUGCAAUCCUAUUAGUUUGUUGGUAGUGUAAAGGACUACCAAGGCAGUGAUGGGUAACGGGAAAUCAGGGUUUGAUUCCGGAGAGGGAGCCUGAGAGAUGGCUCCCACGUCCAAGGAUGGCAGCAGGCGCGAAAAUUGUCCACUCUUUUGAGAGGAGACAGUUAUGAAACGUGAGUAGAAGGGUCGAGUGUAAAAACCUUGACGUGAAGCAAUUGGAGGGCAAGUUUUGGUGCCAGCAGCCGCGGUAAUUCCAACUCCAAGAGUGUCUAUGGUGGAUGCUGCAGUUAAAGGGUCCGUAGUCGUAGAUGCAAUUAAAAGGUGGUGUUAAAAGCCAUUGAGUUUGUUGAGAGUAGCGGAACGGAUAGGGAGCAUGGUAUAGGUGGGCAAAGAAUGAAAUCUCAAGACCCCAC
Molecule: ribosomal RNA, 463 nt
Filed under: Ecytonucleospora hepatopenaei
Lineage: Eukaryota; Fungi; Microsporidia; Enterocytozoonidae
Description: SSU rRNA
Rfam family: Microsporidia small subunit ribosomal RNA
Source: RNAcentral